This 920-nucleotide ribosomal RNA is filed under the name uncultured bacterium. Its description in RNAcentral is "bacterial SSU rRNA". It matches the Rfam family "Bacterial small subunit ribosomal RNA", at positions 533 to 1453 of the family's 1533-position model. The record is from RNAcentral.
CCCGAGCGUUNUCCGGAUUUAUUGGGCGUAAAGCGAGCGCAGGCGGUUAGAUAAGUNUGAAGUUAAAGGCUGUGGCUUANCCAUAGUACGCUUUGGAAACUGUUUAACUUGAGUGCAAGAGGGGAGAGUGGAAUUCCAUGUGUAGCGGUGAAAUGCGUAGAUAUAUGAAGGAACNCCGGUGGCGAAAGCGGCUCUCUGGCUUGUAACUGACGCUGAGGCUNGAAAGCGUGGGGAGCAAACAGGAUUAGAUACCUUGGUAGUNCACGCCGUAAACGAUGAGUGCUAGGUGUUAGACCCUUUCCGGGGUUUAGUGCCGCAGCUAACGCAUUAAGCACUCCGCCUGGGGAGUACGACCGCAAGGUUGAAACUCAAAGGAAUUGACGGGGGCCCGCACGAGCGGUGGAGCAUGUGGUUUAAUUCGAAGCAACGCGAAGAACCUUACCAGGUCUUGACAUCCCUCUGACCGCUCUAGAGAUAGAGUUUUCCUUCGGGACAGAGGUGACAGGUGGUGCAUGGUUGUCGUCAGCUCGUGUCGUGAGAUGUUGGGUUAAGUCCCGCAACGAGCACAACCCCUAUUGUUAGUUGCCAUCAUUCAGUUGGGCACUCUAGCGAGACUGCCGGUAAUAAACCGGAGGAAGGUGGGGAUGACGUCAAAUCAUCAUGCCCCUUAUGACCUGGGCUACACACGUGCUACAAUGGCUGGUACAACGAGUCGCAAGCCGGUGACGGCAAGCUAAUCUCUUAAAGCCAGUCUCAGUUCGGAUUGUAGGCUGCAACUCGCCUACAUGAAGUCGGAAUCGCUAGUAAUCGCGGAUCAGCACGCCGCGGUGAAUACGUUCCCGGGCCUUGUACACACCGCCCGUCACACCACGAGAGUUUGUAACACCCGAAGUCGGUGAGGUAACCUUUUAGGAGCCAGC